RNAcentral lists this ribosomal RNA (597 nucleotides) under Parametriocnemus sp. 1 SRM-2010. RNAcentral's name for it is "eukaryotic LSU rRNA". It matches the Rfam family "Eukaryotic large subunit ribosomal RNA", at positions 443 to 900 of the family's 3401-position model. The record is from RNAcentral. Lineage: Eukaryota; Metazoa; Arthropoda; Insecta; Diptera; Chironomidae.
UUCAAUAUUGCCCCUUAAAAAGGCAAUGUGCACUUCUCUCUUAGUAAGACGCUGUGAUCCAUUAGAAAUUGGAUUGUUUCAACAAUCGUAUGGCUGUCAAUAGGCCGGUGUGAAGUUCACUGAUACAAAUAACUCAAUCAUUUACGGUUGGGUAUAUUGUUUGGUGAGCUCACCGUCACCUGUACAAUGGCUGUCUGAUGGAUUUUAAAGGCUAUGAUAUUGAUGUCUUUUGGCAUCACUCGCUUUAAGUGAGAAUGGUCAUAUGCCCGAUCAACAGCGGUUAAAUUUGGGAUACCUUUUGGACCCGUCUUGAAACACGGACCAAGGAGUCUAUCUAGUAUGCGAGUAAGUGAGAAUAUAUUAGAUAAACUUAUUUGCGUAAAAAACUUGACUGUUCAAUGGGACUACGAGUUGUGCUUUUAAUCGGGUACUUCUCUUCCAUCCCGGGGUAUUUCUAUCAACAUAUGCAGCAAUGUAUAUGGGAAAUAUACCAUGAGCAUACUGGAUAUGACCCGAAAGAUGGUGAACUAUGCCUGAUCAGGUUGAAGUCAGGGGAAACCCUGAUGGAGGACCGAAGCAAUUCUGACGUGCAAAUCG